This is a non-coding RNA of Podarcis lilfordi (Lilford's wall lizard), 73 nucleotides long. The record is from the annotation of a GenBank genome assembly. NCBI's taxonomy places the organism in Eukaryota, Metazoa, Chordata, Lepidosauria, Squamata, Lacertidae.
AGCCAGUUUGGCGCAGUGGUUAGAGUAUCAGUUUAGGACCUGGGAGACCAGGGUUCAAAUCCCCGCUUGGCCA